GGGGGGGGGGGGGGGGCUGGAAUCUAUCCCAGCCAACUUCGGCCGAUAGACGGGGUACACCCUGGACUGGUCACCAGCCAAUCGCAGGGCUCGUACGAAAACCCAUGGUUAUAAUAAUACAAUUAUGCAGUGUCAUAAAUACAUCUCUGUAUAGGGUGGGGAUUUCAACAUGCAGCAUUUCUUGAUGUAUAUUUGUAAAGGGACAAACCGUACCUAUUUUAGAACAUUAUUCUAUUUUUUUAAAUAUAACAUAAUUAAUCAUAGUAUGUAUGCAUUCUCAUAACUACAUCUCUGACGUUUAUAACAAACCAAACCGUUUAAAAAUCAGAAAACAUUGAGCUAUGUUAUUAUUAUUAACAGUACAUGUACCACUAUCGACACAAAAUGAUGGGUGAGCGAGCGCACCGUACCAAGAUGGCCGCCAUGUGCGGACGUUCGGCUCCGUUGGGCGGGCAACGCGGAGGAGACAUCUAGUCUUGAUGUAUAUCUAUGGUCUGCACAGGACUGCACACGGCAACUAAAACCAUUAAAGUCUUCAGCGAGUCGUGAAUACUUCGUUCAACUUAAAUAUUUAUCGGUUUUAUGUUUAAGGUAAAUUCCUAAGUCUGCAAACAGCACCAAAGCUAAAAUGAUGUAAAGUUGAGUUUGAUUUGAAAGUUAAUUCCAGUACUGCAAUUUACAAUUCUCUAGUAUUUCCAUAUUAUGCCGCUUUGUAUUUUGAUUGAUAUGUAUAGAUAUACAUAUAUCUAUAUAGAUAUAUAUAUUAUUUUUUUAUAUAUAUAAUACUUACAUUACUACAGUUUUAUUACAUUUUGUAAUCCUAAAAAAGUAAAUUUACUUGUUGAUAAAAGUUGAUUCAAAGACAAAACUUUUUUUAAGGCUGGUUAUGAAGCCACGAACCCCCUGCCAACCCCAAACAAAAAACAAACUAUUUCUUCCUUAAAAAUAUUUUUUUUAGAUUACGCUACCAGUAUAUUAAAUUGAAACUAAUCAUAGCCAGUCAGUGCUAAUCUAGUCUUAUAAUUUUCUUCUUAUAUGAAGGCUAAGUAAAAAUGUAGAAAACAUAAGAUCACAAUAGACCUCUCUUGCAAAUAUACAAUGCUAAAUAUAUUGGAUAAUCCUGACCACCCCCUCCACCACCUGCUACAGGGACAGCGGAGCACGUUCUCCAACAGACUCCUUCAGCUCCGCUGUCACAAGGACCGAUACAGGAGAUCAUUCCUGCCCAGUGCAAUAACACUUUACAAUAAAUCAUCUCUGGCCAAAUAAUGACAAUAACAACCCUGUGCUCGUCCUCUUCCUCUUCUCCUUUUACAAAUUAUUAUUAUUGUCUCUUUUGGAAGGUUAUUCUUUUGUUUCAGUUGUAGUUUAUUUAACUUAAUUUAAUUUAAGAAUUUAAUAUUUCUAUCUUAUUAUAUUGUCUAUAGUGUGUAUCUUUUUAUUCUAUUUUCUUCCCUGUACAUGCUGCUGUGAUACCAAAAUGUUCCUCUUGAGGGAUCAAUAAAGUUUCAAUUGUCAGGAUCACCGAUCCCCCCGAGUUGGUUGAUGACAAGAAUCGCAGCCCGUUGAUCAAUUAAAGUCAAAAAGUUAACAUUUAUUUAGAAGAGAAAAAGAUUACAUGAGCAAUUCUUCGCAGAUAUCUGGCUCUAACUAUUGCAUAGGCAGGAGGUCAAACACUCCGCGCGCGCGGAAACGCCGGAGAACUUUAAAUCGCUAAACGGAACAUGGAGUUCGGCGUGUCGCUGCGCGGCGCGUAUUAGGGGGGGCGACAUCCUGUUCGCGUUGAGCCGCAUCAUCAAAACUUAGGAUCACCGGCUUCGAGGAAGUGCAGCAACAGUCUAUUAAAACACAUUUAUUAUUUUUUAAACUCGGCCCUGCAUCCGUACUGUCCCGUGCUUUCAGCAGCACCGUGUUGGCCAAGAUAUUCUCCAGCUCCAUGUCGAUGUCCGCCCGGGGUCCGCAGGCUUCUUGACUGCGUUCGCUCCACCGGGGCAACGCUGAUGCUGUCUGGGGAGAGUCGUGACAGGGUGUCACGUGGGUGCCCUCUAUUGGGUCCCUGCGGACGUGGGUGCGACACCCUGUAGCUAAGAAGUUAGUCUGCUGCAGGGUGUGUAACCGGUAAGUUGGCUGUAGAAAGUCCCCUAAUGCUAAAUUCAACUAGCUCAUGUGUUUCAUUCUGUUUGGCAGUUAUGAUGCCACGAGGUUCCUUCUGAGGACGUUAACUUAUGUGUGUUCGCCAGGUGUCUUAACGUCACACAAUAAACGGCCGAUCCGAGCCGAAUGUGGUCCGUGCCCUGGUGGUGAUUUUAACAACACAACGCAAGAAAGAGUACAACCGCUACAUAAACAGCACCUAACAGGACACCCUGACCUUAGCACUGUGAACCAAUGUUAUUACUAAAUACUACUUGAAUGAAUGGACGAUAAUACAACACAGCGACAAUACAAAAGAGCUUUAAAAGAUUGUUGCAUGCACGGUAAUGUGGAAACAUUUAGUAUGCCUGAGACCAAUUGUGUAUUAAGAUAAAGAAUCAAAUUGAAUCAGCCACAUUCGACUCAUAUGAGCAUCAAGAUAAUCAUUCAAUAGGUCCGGAAAGUAACUUCCCCAGUUGUAAAAUCGAAUUGGGCGUUAAUUUGGGAGUUUUUCUGUUUAUAAAUUAGCUUUAUCUAAUCAAUUGUCCCUUUAUAAUGUGAUAUAUCCCAACAGACAACAAUUAUGUUUCAGAGGUCAGAGCACAAUUCUGAUAAUAACUGUGAAUUCCUUUUUUAUUUAUUUGUUGGGGUUAUAACAAGUCAAAGUUGAAUAUAAUUGUGUUUAUUCUCAAGUAAACCUGCCAUGUAUAAUUCAUGUUUUUUUUUACAGUCCAAAGACAUGCUCUGGGGAUCAGGUUAAUUGGGGACUUUAAAUUGCCCGUAGAUGUGUGGAUGUGAGUGUGAAUGGUUGUGUGUCUUGUGUGUCUCUUUGUAGCCCUGCGAUUGGCUGGCGACCAAUCCAGGAUGUAUCCGGUCUAUCGCCCAAAGUUGGCUGGGAUGGACUCCGGCCCCCCUGCGACUGUGUGUGCAGGAUAAGCGGUUUGACAAUGGAUGGAUGGAUAUAUUAUGUUAUAUCAGUGUUUCCCCUACGUUCCCAACUAUGGGGGGGCGGACGUACCGGAGGGGGGUCGUGGGUGUUGGGGCGCGCCGGGUGAUACAAUUGUAGGGAAAACACUGUAUAUCAUAUUAAGUUAUAUAAUAUUAGAAAUAAAGGUGUAAUGCCAUGUCUCCUAUAUUGGUUCUACUAUAUUAUGUCAUAUCAGUGUUUCCCCCCUGUUACCAACUAUGGGGGGGCGGACGUACCGGAGGGGGGUCGUGGGUGUUGGGGCGCGCCGGGUGAUACAAUGGUAGGGAAAACACUGUAUAUGGUAUUAAGUUAUAUAAUAUUUGAAAUACUAAGUAUGAUGACAUGUUUGUUAUAUUACUCCUACAUAAUGCUAUAUGUGUCACGGUGUGGUUCACUUCAUGUUAUAUUUUGUAUUUUCUGCCACUUGUGUCCCCGGGUAACUUCACUUCCUGCCUUGUCCCGUCAUCCCCUGUGAUCGUCUUAAUAGUUUCCACCUGUGUCCAAUCACCUGCACCUACCUUGUGUAUUUAAGCCGUGUGUCUCUUGUGUCACUUGUCGCGUCAUUGUCUUUUGCCACGCAUGUUCUUGUCUCCUGUUGUGGAUCUCCGUAGGUUCAUGCCUGUGUGUUUUUGCCCCUUGGCCUUUUGGAUUUUGUAUCUGGUGACUAUUAAAGUCUUUUGUUUCGGAGAAGUCUGCAUCUGAGUCCUGCCUUCCCCCCCACCCCUGACAAUAUGAUAUUAGUCCUAUAUUAUUUUGUUAUUAUCUAUGAUAUUACAAAUACGAAGUAGCAUAAUAUGUUAUGUAUAUUGGCAUGGCAUUAUUGAAACUAUAGAGGGGGACAUGUGUGUCUACCUUGCCUAAUGCAUAACUUGAAAAAUCAAA
Gasterosteus aculeatus aculeatus (three-spined stickleback) is the source of this 3982-nucleotide long non-coding RNA. The record is from Ensembl. Lineage: Eukaryota; Metazoa; Chordata; Actinopteri; Perciformes; Gasterosteidae.